RNAcentral lists this unclassified non-coding RNA (301 nucleotides) under uncultured Hygrocybe. RNAcentral's name for it is "partial contains 5.8S ribosomal RNA, internal transcribed spacer 2, and large subunit ribosomal RNA". The stretch from base 1 to 52 matches the Rfam family "5.8S ribosomal RNA", at positions 103 to 154 of the family's 154-position model. Lineage: Eukaryota; Fungi; Basidiomycota; Agaricomycetes; Agaricales; Hygrophoraceae. The record is from RNAcentral.
AACGCACCUUGCGCUCUUGGGUAUUCCUAAGAGCAUGUCUGUUUGAGUGUUGUAAGUCUCACAAAACCCCCUUUCUUUUGAAAGAGUUUAGGGCUUUGGAUUUUUGACCGUACGUUGCUGCUUUGAAUGGCUCGGUUCAAACGAGGUAGCUGAAGCUAAUAAUUGUUCUAUGGCUUACCAUGAACUUGGCGUGAUAAUUAUUUCGCUAGGAACAAGUAAGCUUACAAUUGUUAAGCGGGCUCCUAAAACAUAACUUUAUACAAAUAACCUCAAAUCAGGCAGGACUACCCGCUGAACUUAA